CCUACGGGAGGCAGCAGUAGGGAAUUUUCGUCAAUGGGCGCAAGCCUGAACGAGCGAUGCCGCGUGAGUGAAGAAGGCCUUCGGGUCGUAAAGCUCUGUUGCGGGGGAAAAAAGGCAGCAUCAGGAAAUGGGUGCUGACUGAUGGUGCCCCGCCAGAAAGUCACGGCUAACUACGUGCCAGCAGCCGCGGUAAUACGUAGGUGGCGAGCGUUAUCCGGAAGGAUUGGGCGUAAAGGGUGCGCAGGCGGUCCUGCAAGUCUGGAGUGAAACGCAUGAGCUCAACUCAUGCAUGGCUUUGGAAACUGGAGGACUGGAGAGCAUGAGAGGGCGGUGGAACUCCAUGUGUAGCGGUAAAAUGCGUAGAUAGAUGGAAGAACACCAGUGGCGAAGGCGGCCGCCUGGCCUGUUGCUGACGCUGAGGCACGAAAGCGUGGGGAGCAAAUAGGAUUAGAUACCCUGGUAGUC
RNAcentral lists this ribosomal RNA (465 nucleotides) under uncultured bacterium. RNAcentral describes it as "partial 16S ribosomal RNA". It matches the Rfam family "Bacterial small subunit ribosomal RNA", at positions 338 to 795 of the family's 1533-position model. The record is from RNAcentral.